Molecule: ribosomal RNA, 310 nt
Filed under: uncultured bacterium
Lineage: Bacteria
Description: bacterial SSU rRNA
Rfam family: Bacterial small subunit ribosomal RNA
Source: RNAcentral
AUUGAACGCUGGCGGCAGGCCUAACACAUGCAAGUCGAACGGUAACAGGAAACAGCUUGCUGUUUCGCUGACGAGUGGCGGACGGGUGAGUAAUGUCUGGGAAACUGCCUGAUGGAGGGGGAUAACUACUGGAAACGGUAGCUAAUACCGCAUAACGUCGCAAGACCAAAGAGGGGGACCUUCGGGCCUCUUGCCAUCGGAUGUGCCCAGAUGGGAUUAGCUUGUUGGUGGGGUAACGGCUCACCAAGGCGACGAUCCCUAGCUGGUCUGAGAGGAUGACCAGCCACACUGGAACUGAGACACGGUCCAG